Molecule: ribosomal RNA, 219 nt
Filed under: uncultured bacterium
Lineage: Bacteria
Description: partial 16S ribosomal RNA
Rfam family: Bacterial small subunit ribosomal RNA
Source: RNAcentral
UAAACGUCCCAGUUCGGACUGUAGUCUGCAACCCGACUACACGAAGCUGGAAUCGCUAGUAAUCGCGAAUCAGAAUGUCGCGGUGAAUACGUUCCCGGGUCUUGUACACACCGCCCGUCACACCAUGAGAGUUGGGAAUACCCGAAGCCUGUGAGCUAACGAAAGAGGCAGCAGUCGAAGGUAGAAUCAAUGAUUGGGGUGAAGUCGUAACAAGGUAUC